GAGGACCUCUGGCGGCGUGCCUAAUACAUGCAAGUCGUACGCUUCUUUUUCCACCGGAGCUUGCUCCACCGGAAAAAGAGGAGUGGCGAACGGGUGAGUAACACGUGGGUAACCUGCCCAUCAGAAGGGGAUAACACUUGGAAACAGGUGCUAAUACCGUAUAACAAUCGAAACCGCAUGGUUUUGAUUUGAAAGGCGCUUUCGGGUGUCGCUGAUGGAUGGACCCGCGGUGCAUUAGCUAGUUGGUGAGGUAACGGCUCACCAAGGCCACGAUGCAUAGCCGACCUGAGAGGGUGAUCGGCCACAUUGGGACUGAGACACGGCCCAAACUCCUACGGGAGGCAGCAGUAGGGAAUCUUCGGCAAUGGACGAAAGUCUGACCGAGCAACGCCGCGUGAGUGAAGAAGGUUUUCGGAUCGUAAAACUCUGUUGUUAGAGAAGAAUAAGGAUGAGAGUAACUGUUCAUCCCUUGACGGUAUCUAACCAGAAAGCCACGGCUAACUACGUGCCAGCAGCCGCGGUAAUACGUAGGUGGCAAGCGUUGUCCGGAUUUAUUGGGCGUAAAGCGAGCGCAGGCGGUUUCUUAAGUCUGAUGUGAAAGCCCCCGGCUCAACCGGGGAGGGUCAUUGGAAACUGGGAGACUUGAGUGCAGAAGAGGAGAGUGGAAUUCCAUGUGUAGCGGUGAAAUGCGUAGAUAUAUGGAGGAACACCAGUGGCGAAGGCGGCUCUCUGGUCUGUAACUGACGCUGAGGCUCGAAAGCGUGGGGAGCAAACAGGAUUAGAUACCCUGGUAGUCCACGCCGUAAACGAU
RNAcentral lists this ribosomal RNA (811 nucleotides) under uncultured bacterium. RNAcentral describes it as "bacterial SSU rRNA". It matches the Rfam family "Bacterial small subunit ribosomal RNA", at positions 28 to 810 of the family's 1533-position model. The record is from RNAcentral.